RNAcentral lists this ribosomal RNA (842 nucleotides) under uncultured bacterium. Its description in RNAcentral is "bacterial SSU rRNA". It matches the Rfam family "Bacterial small subunit ribosomal RNA", at positions 94 to 906 of the family's 1533-position model. The record is from RNAcentral.
AGUGGCGUAAGGGUGAGUAACGCGUGGGCAAUCUACUCCCGAGACAGGUAUAACCUAUCGAGAGGUAGGCUAAUACCAGAUAAGAUUACUGAGAGGCAUCUCUCGAUAAUAAAAGGUAGCUUAAUCCGCUUUAGUGUGGAUGCUGUCGCUUGGGAAGGAGCCUGCGUCCCAUUAGCUAGUUGGUAGAGUAAUAGCCUACCAAGGCGACGAUGGGUAGCCGACCUGAGAGGGUGACCGGCCACACUGGGACUGAGACACUGCCCAGACUCCUACGGGGGGCUGCAGUCGAGAAUCUUUCGCAAUGGACGAAAGUCUGACGAAGCGACGCCGCGUGAGCGAUGAAGGUCUUCGGAUUGUAAAGCUCUGUCACCAGGGAAGAAAAUAGCCUGAUGAAUAGUCAGGUGACUUGACGGUACCUGGAGAGGAAGCCCCGGCUAACUCCGUGCCAGCAGCCGCGGUAAGACGGAGGGGGCAAGCGUUGUUCGGAUUUAUUGGGCGUAAAGAGCGUGUAGGUGGUUAUUUAAGUCGGGCGUGAAAGCCUCUGGCUCAACCAGAGACCGUCGCUCGAAACUGGAUAACUAGAGGGUAGGAGAGGAGAGUGGAAUUCCUGGUGUAGCGGUGACAUGUGUAGAUAUCAGGAGGAACACCGAUGGCGAAGGCAGCUCUCUGGNCUACUACUGACACUGAGUACGCNAAAGCGUGGGGAGCAAACAGGAUUANAUACCCUGGUAGUCCACGCUGUAAACGAUGGGCACUAGGUGUAUCCGCCUUGGGCGNANGUGCCGUANCUGACGCNUUAAGUGNCCCGCCUGGGGAGUACGGUCGCAAGGCUGAACUCAAAU